Molecule: ribosomal RNA, 318 nt
Filed under: Glossodoris cincta
Lineage: Eukaryota; Metazoa; Mollusca; Gastropoda; Nudibranchia; Chromodorididae
Description: partial 16S ribosomal RNA
Rfam family: Archaeal large subunit ribosomal RNA
Source: RNAcentral
UCGCAAUCAAUUGGCUCUUAAUUGGGGUCAGGUAUGAAUGGAGUAACGGAGUUCGGCUGUCUCAAGAUUAAUAGUUUGAAGUUACUAUUUAGGUGAAAAAGCCUAAAAUUGGAAAAGGGACGAGAAGACCCUUAGAGUUUUACUUCAAAAUAUAAGUUAGGUAUUUUUAAUGGUUUAGUUGGGGCAACAUAGGAGCAUAAUCUCCUUAUAAUUAACCGAUUAUUUUAAAUUUGGAUAAACUACCUUAGGGAUAACAGCAUAAUUUAUUAAAUAAGUUUGUGACCUCGAUGUUGGACUAGGAAAUCUWAARGCUAGCCG